Long non-coding RNA from Sander lucioperca (pikeperch), 885 nucleotides. RefSeq lists it as uncharacterized. NCBI's taxonomy places the organism in Eukaryota, Metazoa, Chordata, Actinopteri, Perciformes, Percidae. The record is from RefSeq and is a predicted model, not a curated record. The transcript has 2 exons.
AUGUUUUGGCACAAUGUUUGUGACCGUAGUAGUGGUCUGAUAUAGUGACUGGAAGUGUGAUGUGUGAUGCUAAAAACAAACUACACGCUGUUUUCAGGUAACGUUACUUUUUGACUUUUGUACUCCUCAACUAUUUAGUCCAUGCAUCAGAUUUUGAUUUGACGGUUAUUCGCCAACAAAAUGUCCCGUUUGUGCAACACUUUUAAAAGCCAAACCAACAUUCAGCAGGGAGGUUUGCUCACUGAUAAAAAUAAUACAUGCUCUGUAUGCAGUCUGCAGCUUACAUCAGGGGAUGAUUAGGAGGAGCAAACACACAACCGGUUUUAUUUACUGUUAUGAGAAUUGAAUUUGAAGAUUUUUUAUUUAUGACACUUAACAGCUAAAUCACCUAAUAUUUUUUUAGGCAAAAGAAAAAGAGGGAUGUUUCAUAACGGUGACUCAGGUCUUAUUGUGAAAAGUAUGUCAUGAAAGAGCUUUAUAAACUAAACCUCCUCCCUGUUUUGGUUGUUUAUAGAGUUGUCAGUCACUGGUGAGGAAGGGGAUGUUGACGAUGACACAGAGCUACCAGCACCAUCACCACAGGCCUGCAGCUCGCCGGUACCAUCUGCCUCCGUGUCAUCACGGCAAGCCAGACGAGGAAAAAGACAGCGUGAAAAUGAGGGGCUGUUGGAGUACAUGGAGAAGGCUGAGGAUAAGUUCUUGCAGCUCAACAAGGACAUGACAGCAAAGAUGGAGGCAGACACAAGUGCUCUGCUUGGGCUCAUGGGGCGCAUGGUGGCAGUGAUGGAGGCGCAAGCAAAAAUAUAGACUAUGUUUUAAUUUAAUUAACAUGUUAUUUAUUUAUUAUUUGAUUGUUUAUGCCAAUAAACAAAUGUUUUUAUAUUU